GGCUCCCGUACGGUAGACUGCAGACCAAGAGAUCCUUAGCAAUGCCAGAAUCUUGAGAAAAUGCACAUGAGUUGUCCACUAGCUGACAUAGGACGUGAAUGGCCCCAUACGAUCCUCCCCUGAGAGGGCAACUCAGCCAGACAAUGGGGACCCAAACACCAGUCGUGGCAGGCUACCCCUGUGGAUCCCACGUGGGACAUUAAAAGAGAGGGAGUCGUAG
Molecule: non-coding RNA, 220 nt
Organism: Pelobates cultripes (western spadefoot toad)
Lineage: Eukaryota; Metazoa; Chordata; Amphibia; Anura; Pelobatidae
Source: the annotation of a GenBank genome assembly